AUUGAACGCUAACGGCGUGCUUAACACAUGCAAGUCGAGCGGCAGCACAGUAGUAGCAAUACUAUGGGUGGUGAGCGGCGGACGGGUGAGUAAUGCAUAGGAAUCUGCCUUGUAGUGGGGGAUAACCCGGGGAAACUCGGGCUAAUACCGCAUAAUCUCUACGGAGCAAAGUGGGGGACCGUAAGGCCUCACGCUAAAAGAUGAGCCUAUGUUGGAUUAGGUAGUUGGUAGGGUAAAGGCCUACCAAGGCAACGAUCCAUAGCUGGUCUGAGAGGAUGAUCAGACACACUGGGACUGAGACACUGGCCAGACUGCUACGGGAGGCAGCAGUGAGGAAUAUUGGACAAUGGGCGAUAGCCUGAUCCAGCAACGCCGUGUGUGUGAAGAAGGCCUUCGGGUUGAAAAUCACUUUUAGUUGGGAAGAAAAACUCAAGGUUAAUUCCGUUGGGUAAUGACGUUGCCAACAGAAAAAGCACUGGCUAACUCUUUGCCAGCCGCCGCUGUAA
RNAcentral lists this ribosomal RNA (506 nucleotides) under uncultured bacterium. Its description in RNAcentral is "partial 16S ribosomal RNA". It matches the Rfam family "Bacterial small subunit ribosomal RNA", at positions 30 to 523 of the family's 1533-position model. The record is from RNAcentral.